Molecule: non-coding RNA, 113 nt
Organism: Acanthosepion pharaonis
Lineage: Eukaryota; Metazoa; Mollusca; Cephalopoda; Sepiida; Sepiidae
Source: the annotation of a GenBank genome assembly
UAUGGCUAUAUCAUGCUGACACACCAGUUCCUGUAUGAUCAGUAAAGUUAACCAAUAUCAAGCCUAGUCACUACCUAGAUGGGUGACCACUUGGGAAUACCAAGUGCUGUAGG